CCCUUAGAUGUUCUGGGCAGCACGUGCGCUACAAUGGUCUUCGCAAACGGAUGCAUUCUCGAAGGAGGAUGCCAAUCUUGGAAUCUAUGCCUUGGUCGGGACAGUUGCUUGCAAUUUUUCGACUCGAACCAGGAAUUCCUUGUAAUCGUGAUUCAUCACAUCACGAUGAAUACGUCCCUGCCCUUUGUACACACCGCCCGUCGCUCCUACCGAUCGAAGAGUUAGGUGAAUUGUUUUGAUCGAUAAGAUUUGACUAUGGUCAACUCUCGUUGUGAAAUUCUGUGAAUCUGACUGUUUAGAGGAAGGAAAAGUCGUAACA
RNAcentral lists this ribosomal RNA (319 nucleotides) under uncultured eukaryote. RNAcentral describes it as "partial 18S ribosomal RNA". It matches the Rfam family "Eukaryotic small subunit ribosomal RNA", at positions 1470 to 1796 of the family's 1831-position model. The record is from RNAcentral.